Molecule: ribosomal RNA, 138 nt
Filed under: Pseudotaxiphyllum pohliicarpum
Lineage: Eukaryota; Viridiplantae; Streptophyta; Bryopsida; Hypnales; Plagiotheciaceae
Description: partial 18S ribosomal RNA
Rfam family: Eukaryotic small subunit ribosomal RNA
Source: RNAcentral
CGGAUCGCGGCGACGCCGGCGGUUCGCCGCCGGUGACGUUGUGAGAAGUUCAUUAAACCUUAUCAUUUAGAGGAAGGAGAAGUCGUAACAAGGUUUCCGUAGGUGAACCUGCGGAAGGAUCAUUGCACACACAAGUUG